Molecule: long non-coding RNA, 363 nt
Organism: Carassius carassius (crucian carp)
Lineage: Eukaryota; Metazoa; Chordata; Actinopteri; Cypriniformes; Cyprinidae
Exons: 3
Source: RefSeq, a predicted model, not a curated record
GAUGACCAUAAGUGUGUGUCGAACUUUUCAUGACCUGAUGACUGUGUUUCCCAAUCCUGAUCCUGGAGAACCCCAGCACUGCACGGUUUUGGUGUCUCUCUUAUCUGACAAACACACUUUUGAGGCCUUGGAGUCUUCACUGAUGAGCUGAUGAGUUGAAUCAGGUCUACAAUAUCGAGCUCAACAGCUCUUUUAAGAGCCAACCCUCACAAACCUUCCUAAAAACUAAAAGAGCUAUUACUGAGUCUCAGUGAAUCUUGCCAUGAUCAGCUCUUCCCAUAAGAGAAGGAAGACCAAGGAAAUGAUUUGUUCAGGAUGAGGAAUGAAGACGGCCAUCUUGUGCUCAAACAAACACAAGUCCUC